RNAcentral lists this ribosomal RNA (460 nucleotides) under uncultured bacterium. RNAcentral describes it as "partial 16S ribosomal RNA". It matches the Rfam family "Bacterial small subunit ribosomal RNA", at positions 338 to 795 of the family's 1533-position model. The record is from RNAcentral.
CCUACGGGGUGCAGCAGUGAGGAAUAUUGGUCAAUGGACGAGAGUCUGAACCAGCCAAGUAGCGUGAAGGAUGACUGCCCUAUGGGUUGUAAACUUCUUUUAUAUGGGAAUAAAACGUUCCACGUGUGGGAUUUUGUAUGUACCAUAUGAAUAAGGAUCGGCUAACUCCGUGCCAGCAGCCGCGGUAAUACGGAGGAUCCGAGCGUUAUCCGGAUUUAUUGGGUUUAAAGGGAGCGUAGGUGGGUUGUUAAGUCAGUUGUGAAAGUUUGCGGCUCAACCGUAAAAUUGCAGUUGAAACUGGCAGUCUUGAGUAUAGUAGAGGUGGGCGGAAUUCGUGGUGUAGCGGUGAAAUGCUUAGAUAUCACGAAGAACUCCGAUUGCGAAGGCAGUUCACUGGACUGCAACUGACACUGAGGCUCGAAAGUGUGGGUAUCAAACAGGAUUAGAUACCCCAGUAGUC